RNAcentral lists this ribosomal RNA (618 nucleotides) under uncultured bacterium. RNAcentral's name for it is "bacterial SSU rRNA". The stretch from base 1 to 521 matches the Rfam family "Bacterial small subunit ribosomal RNA", at positions 338 to 873 of the family's 1533-position model. The record is from RNAcentral.
CCUACGGGAGGCAGCAGUGGGGAAUCUUGCACAAUGGAGGAAACUCUGAUGCAGCGACGCCGCGUGGACGACGAAGCACUUCGGUGUGUAAAGUCCUUUCGACCGGAACGAUAAUGACGGUACCGGUGGAAGAAGCUGCGGCUAACUACGUGCCAGCAGCCGCGGUAAUACGUAGGCAGCAAGCGUUGUUCGGAAUUAUUGGGCGUAAAGAGUUCGUAGGCGGUGUGCCAAGUUUGGUGUGAAAUCUCCCGGCUCAACUGGGAGGCUGCAUCGAAUACUGGCAUGCUCGAGUAUAGGAGAGGUAAGCGGAAUUCCUGGUGUAGCGGUGAAAUGCGUAGAUAUCAGGAGGAACACCUGUGGUGUAGACGGCUUACUGGACUAUAACUGACGCUGAGGAACGAAAGCGUGGGUAGCAAACAGGAUUAGAUACCCUGGUAGUCCACGCCCUAAACGAUGCAUACUUGGUGUGAGCACUCUACUUGUUCGUUGUCGUACGUCUACGUACGUUAAGUUAUGCCGCCGUCGGGUAGGUACGGUCGGCGAGGCGUGAACGUACGAAAGAAAGUUAGUACGGCGUGAGACGUGCCGACGGACGACCGACCGACGGGGAAGGUUAGG